RNAcentral lists this non-coding RNA (28 nucleotides) under Homo sapiens (human). The record is from RNAcentral. Lineage: Eukaryota; Metazoa; Chordata; Mammalia; Primates; Hominidae.
UGCUAGGGGCCAGGGGAAAGACCCUAGA